AUGCUGCACGUGGUUGUACACUGUCUAGUGGUGUUAGCCUGCAUCCCUACCUGCACACAUCUAACCCAGCAUGUCUCCCCUCCCCUCCCCUCCCUCUAUCCUCCCCUCCCUCCCUCUAUCCUUCUCUCCCCUCCCUCUAUCCUUCCCUCUAUCCUUCUCUCCCCUCCCUCUAUCCUUCCCUCUAUCCUUCUCUCCCCUCCCUCUAUCCUUCCCUCCCCUCCCUCUAUCCUUCCCUCCCCUCCCUCUAUCCUUCCCUCCCCUCCCUCUAUCCUUCCCUCCCCUCCCUCUAUCCUUCCCUCUAUCCUUCCCUCCCCUCCCUCUAUCCUUCCUUCCCCUCCCUCUAUCAUUCCUUCCCCUCCCUCUAUUCUUCCCUUCCCUCCUUCUAUCCUCCCCUUCCUCUAUCCUUCCCUCCCCUCCCUCUAUCCUUCCCUUCCUCUAUCCUCCCCUCCAUCCUCCCCUCCCCUCCCUCUAUCCUCCCCCCCUCUAUCCUCCCCUCCCUCUAUCCUUCCCUCCCUCCCCUCCCUCAAUCCUUCCCUCCCUCCCUCUAUCCUUCCCUCCCCUCCCUCCAUCCUUCCCUCCCCUCCCUCUAUCCUUCCCUCCCUCCCUCUAUCCUUCCCUCCCUCCCUCCCUCUAUCCUUCCCUCCCCUCCCUCUAUCCUUCCCUCCCUCUAUCCUUCCCUCCCCUCCCUCUAUCCUUCCCUUCCUCUAUCCUCCCCUCCAUCCUCCCCUCCCCUCCCUCUAUCCUCCCCCCCAUCUAUCCUCCCCUCCCUCUAUCCUUCCCUCCCUCCCCUCCCUCAAUCCUUCCCUCCCUCCCUCUAUCCUUCCCUCCCCUCCCUCUAUCCUUCCCUCCCCUUCCUCUAUCCUUCCCUCCCUUCCUCUAUCCUUCCCUCCCUCCCUCUAUCCUUCCCUCCCCUCCCUCUAUCCUUCCCUCCCCUCCCUCUAUCCUUCCCUCCCCUCCCUCUAUCCUUCCCUCCCUCUAUCCUUCCCUCCCCUCCCUCUAUCCUUCCUUCCCCUCCCUCUAUCCUUCCCUCCCCUCCCUCUAUCCUUCCCUCCCUCCCCUCUAUCCUUCCCUCCAUCCCUUUCUCUCUCUCCCUCUAUCCUUCCCUCCCUCCCCUCCCUCUAUCCUUCCCUCCAUCCCUUUCUCUCUCUCCCCGGAACAGCGGCAGUAAUGAAACUUCAAUCUGACCCAGCAGGAAAACCAGAGUCUCUCUGCCCUUAUGAGAGGAGAAAAGAUGACCUCUUUCUGGAGUAG
This 1251-nucleotide long non-coding RNA is filed under the name Oncorhynchus mykiss (rainbow trout). RNAcentral's name for it is "lncRNA (ENSOMYG00000069440.1)". The record is from RNAcentral. Lineage: Eukaryota; Metazoa; Chordata; Actinopteri; Salmoniformes; Salmonidae.